AACAUACUCCCUCCGUCCCAAAAUACUUGUCUUAGGUUUGUCUAGAAAUGAAUGUAUCUAAAUACUAAAGUGUGACUAGAUACAUUCAUAUCUAAACAAAUCGAAGACAAGAAUUUUGGAACGGAAGGAGUAGUUG
Hordeum vulgare subsp. vulgare (domesticated barley) is the source of this 136-nucleotide non-coding RNA. Lineage: Eukaryota; Viridiplantae; Streptophyta; Magnoliopsida; Poales; Poaceae. The record is from Rfam.